GCGACCAUAGUGUAAUGGUUAACACGGGAGUCUGUGGAACUCCAGGUACGGGUUCAAUCCCCGUUGGUCGCCCA
RNAcentral lists this transfer RNA (74 nucleotides) under Actinomycetes bacterium. RNAcentral describes it as "Actinobacteria bacterium tRNA-His". It matches the Rfam family "tRNA". Rfam says of the family: Transfer RNA (tRNA) molecules are approximately 80 nucleotides in length. Their secondary structure includes four short double-helical elements and three loops (D, anti-codon, and T loops). The record is from RNAcentral. Lineage: Bacteria; Bacillati; Actinomycetota; Actinomycetes.